CUAAAUAUCUGUAGUAGGCUAAGGAAUGUGUUCUUAAAAGAGAAUUUGUGAAGGAUCUAUUUUGCUUACUCAAGGAUCUCAUUUGCUGGGACACUUGUGUAGUGAAAGCAAAAGAACCAGGUGUAAGUGGAAAAACCCUUAGUCACUAAGGGUUGUUUGGGCUUCUCAGUGCUGAAAUUCAGGGGUGGCUGGUUUCCUCUGCCACGACGGAUCCUGGCCUGAUUUGCCUGGCUGUUUUGACAUUUUGUAGACCCAACAUAUAGAAGGACACCCGAGGGGAGUUUCGUACUCAAGUGGUCGCUAUUCUCCUCACACGUACCUUGGAGCGUCUUCGCAAGGUGUGAGGUUGGGAAGGCUGGGACACAUUCAUGGGGAUGUAGGAAAAAGCAGUGUGUCGGGAGUGCUUUUAGUUUCCAAUAGGGAGAGUCACUUUAAAGCUUUAUUUGUCUCUCAUGCCUCAGCUAACCCCAAGAGAAAAGCUUAGCUCAGGACAGGAAGCUCAGAGCGCCCAAAAGGAUGACAACACAACUCAGGGCUAUUUAUGUCUGCCUCUUACAUGUCCCUCUGUGCCAUUACCCCAAGGCUGAGGUGUGCUGGCGCUGUAGGGAUCCUGACUAUACCAUCAUUCCCUCGGAAACCAACAGGCCGACAUGCUGCACAGGCCAGGCCCACUGCAACCCGACCCAUGAGACCCAUGCUUUUCCCAGGCUACCUCCCUGCCCCUGGAGUUACAGGUUUGGAAUAUUCUGCAUGGACAGGUUUGUCCUCUCGUCAGGACACGUCAAAACUUGCAGAGACCCUGGCAGGCACGGCUCCCAACUCUUCAUUGGACAAAAGAACAACCUAAGACUCAGAGCUGAGAAGUGAUUUUGCCAGGGUCACACAGCCAGCUUGGGGCAGAAUCGGGAUUCAGGGACCUGUCUCCUACUUCUAAUGUGUCCUCUCUCCAUUACACCAGACACGGCGAGAACACGGAGAACCUAAAAGAAGAAAGAAAAAAACAGCUUCUUGUUGAAUAUCUUGAGCUUCUGGUUUUCAAGGACAGCUUUAUGAUUAAUAGCAAUGAUGCCUCAAAAGCUAUGGCAGCUAGCUUGAAU
RNAcentral lists this long non-coding RNA (1097 nucleotides) under Equus asinus (donkey). RNAcentral's name for it is "lncRNA (ENSEASG00005034061.1)". The record is from RNAcentral. Lineage: Eukaryota; Metazoa; Chordata; Mammalia; Perissodactyla; Equidae.